GAAAUUUAUUUUGAAAUAUCUAAUGCAAUAAUUAUUAAUCGUUACUAAAAAUAUAUAUUAAAGACGGUUGGACUAAAGCAAAGGGGGCGUAUGAAAAAAGACAGAAAAUAUAUGACCAAAAGUGAAAAAUAUAUCGGAUUAAUAAGGCCGCCGUGUGUGAAAAGUGCCAAAAAUACUAAUAAUAAUACAUAAAGAUUCAAAGUCACAAAUAAUCUACCUACUUAAUAGCAGCAAAUUUUAGUGCUCCUUGCCGUUAAUCGCCCACUACUGAGCAUCAUAGGGAGGCCCCCUUCGUGUACGCCACUUAUCCCGGUCCUGAGCUAGUCUCAUCCAGAAGUGCCCCGCAGUUUUUCGAAUGUCGUCUACCCAACGAGCCAACGGAUGCCAAGCAGUUUUUUUACAUCGGAAGGCGACCACCAUUCUGUCAACAUUUUGUUCCACCUGCCAUCACUCUGCCUGACAACAUUUCCCGCCAUUUCAAUUUCGAAAUGACGUCACCCACGUCUCGCACCUUGGUGCGGCGUCGGAUCUCGACAUUCUUCACUGGAUCUUAAAGCUUAAUGCCGAGCAUGGUGCAAUUUAUGGCUCU
Molecule: long non-coding RNA, 589 nt
Organism: Leguminivora glycinivorella
Lineage: Eukaryota; Metazoa; Arthropoda; Insecta; Lepidoptera; Tortricidae
Exons: 3
Source: RefSeq, a predicted model, not a curated record